This 405-nucleotide ribosomal RNA is filed under the name uncultured bacterium. Its description in RNAcentral is "bacterial SSU rRNA". It matches the Rfam family "Bacterial small subunit ribosomal RNA", at positions 354 to 777 of the family's 1533-position model. The record is from RNAcentral.
GUGGGGGAUAUUGCACAAUGGGCGCAAGCCUGAUGCAGCGACGCCGCGUGUGGGAAGACGGCCCUCGGGUUGUAAACCACUGGCUUUGGGGACGAUAAUGACGGUACCCAAGGAGGAAGCUCCGGCUAACUACGUGCCAGCAGCCGCGGUAAUACGUAGGGAGCGAGCGUUGUCCGGAAUUACUGGGUGUAAAGGGAGCGUAGGCGGGAGUGCAAGUUGAAUGUUUAAUCUAUGGGCUCAACCCAUAUCAGCGUUCAAAACUGCAUUUCUUGAGUGAAGUAGAGGUUGGCGGAAUUCCUAGUGUAGCGGUGAAAUGCGUAGAUAUUAGGAGGAACACCAGUGGCGAAGGCGGCCAACUGGGCUUUUACUGACGCUGAGGCUCGAAAGCGUGGGGAGCAAACAGGA